Long non-coding RNA from Bufo bufo (common toad), 174 nucleotides. RefSeq lists it as uncharacterized. The transcript is spliced from 3 exons. The record is from RefSeq and is a predicted model, not a curated record. NCBI's taxonomy places the organism in Eukaryota, Metazoa, Chordata, Amphibia, Anura, Bufonidae.
CACUGUAUACAGUGUAAAACAUGCUGAGAGGCGGCCGGACAAAAAACGCAGCGUGCUGGGCAUCAGUAAAUGUGAAUGGGGCCGAAGCGGACUUCCGGCGGCACUCGUGGGCUAGCGUUAGCACUGAUCUGGCAGGGGAACAGCCUGCCAUACCCUGCUAAUGCUAGUGUGAAA